This 21-nucleotide ribosomal RNA is filed under the name uncultured Hebeloma. RNAcentral describes it as "partial 18S ribosomal RNA". The record is from RNAcentral. Lineage: Eukaryota; Fungi; Basidiomycota; Agaricomycetes; Agaricales; Cortinariaceae.
GUGACCUGCGGAAGGACAUUA